CCUUACUUGAGUGUUCUGCUUGCUUAGUAUUCUAAAUCUUCAACCUUGAGAAGCAAAAGGAUAGAUCUUAACUUGGUUAGAGAAAGGCAAGGAGGCCUAAAAUAUAACCAAGGUCACAUCUAUAUGAGAUUCCCAGGGAAGGAACUGCCCUCGCCCGAGCUUCAGGAAUCCCUUGGCUGGCUUCUGUAAACUCCUGGGAGUUGCCACAAAAGAAUGAAUGCCAUCUCCCGCCAUCGUCAUGACCACAAACAUCAGCUCCACUGCCAUGGCGAUCUCCGAUGAUCUCUCAGUCAGUGAAGGACUAGCUACUUGUGAUCAGAGCAGAGCCAUGGCUAUUAGAAUUACCAUUGCCGUAAUGCCUCCAGAAA
Long non-coding RNA from Zingiber officinale, 368 nucleotides. RefSeq lists it as uncharacterized. The record is from RefSeq and is a predicted model, not a curated record. Lineage: Eukaryota; Viridiplantae; Streptophyta; Magnoliopsida; Zingiberales; Zingiberaceae. The transcript has 3 exons.